CCUACGUGAGGCAGCAGUGGGGAAUAGUGGGCAAGGGGCGCAAGCCUGACCCAGCAACGCCGCGUGCAGGAAGAAGGCUUUCGGGUUGUAAACUUCUUUUCUCAGGGACGAAGCAAGUGACGGUACCUGAGGAAUAAGCCACGGCUAACUACGUGCCAGCAGCCGCGGUAAUACGUAGGUGGCAAGCGUUAUCCGGAUUUACUGGGUGUAAAGGGCGUGUAGGCGGGAAAGCAAGUCAGAUGUGAAAACCAUGGGCUCAACCUGUGGCCUGCCUUUGAAACUGUUUUUCUUGAGUACUGGAGAGGCAGACUGAAUUCCUAUUGUAGCGGUUAAAUGCGUAGAUAUUAGGAGGACCACCAGUGGCGAAGGCGGUCUGCUGGACAGCAACUGACGCUGAGGCGCGAAAGCGUGGCGAGCAAACAGGAUUAGAUACCCCGGUAGUC
RNAcentral lists this ribosomal RNA (443 nucleotides) under uncultured bacterium. Its description in RNAcentral is "partial 16S ribosomal RNA". It matches the Rfam family "Bacterial small subunit ribosomal RNA", at positions 338 to 795 of the family's 1533-position model. The record is from RNAcentral.